Molecule: ribosomal RNA, 398 nt
Filed under: uncultured bacterium
Lineage: Bacteria
Description: bacterial SSU rRNA
Rfam family: Bacterial small subunit ribosomal RNA
Source: RNAcentral
UAACACGUAGGGGGCAAGCGUUGUCCGGAUUUAUUGGGCGUAAAGAGCUCGUAGGCGGCUCAGUAAGUCGGGUGUCAAAUCCUCAGGCUCAACCUGGGGCUCCACCCGAUACUGCUGUGGCUAGAGUCCGGUAGGGGAGCGUGGAAUUCCUGGUGUAGCGGUGAAAUGCGCAGAUAUCAGGAGGAACACCAGCGGCGAAGGCGGCGCUCUGGGCCGGAACUGACGCUGAGGAGCGAAAGCGUGGGUAGCAAACAGGAUUAGAUACCCUGGUAGUCCACGCCGUAAACGUUGGGCACUAGGUGUGGGGUCUUUUCAACGGACUCCGUGCCGUCGCUAACGCAUUAAGUGCCCCGCCUGGGGAGUACGGCCGCAAGGCUAAAACUCAAAUGAAUUGACGG